Molecule: ribosomal RNA, 279 nt
Filed under: uncultured euryarchaeote
Lineage: Archaea; Methanobacteriati; Methanobacteriota
Description: partial 16S ribosomal RNA
Rfam family: Archaeal small subunit ribosomal RNA
Source: RNAcentral
GAGACCCGUGCCCACUGUUACCAGCAUGUCCUUCGGGAUGAUGGGUACUCUGUGGGGACCGCCGGUGUCAAAUCGGAGGAAGGUGCGGGCCACGGUAGGUCAGUAUGCCCCGAAUCUCCCGGGCUACACGCGGGCUACAAUGAAUGGGACAAUGGGUCCCUUCCCUGAAAAGGGUUGGCAAUCUCACAAACCCAUCCUUAGUUCGGAUCGAGGGCUGUAACUCGCCCUCGUGAAGCUGGAAUCCGUAGUAAUCGCGUUUCAAUAUAGCGCGGUGAAUAC